GAUGAACGCUGGCGGCGUGCCUAUACAUGCAAGUCGCGCGAACAGACGAGGAGCUUGCUCCUCUGACGUUAGCGGCGGACGGGUGAGUAACACGUGGAUAACCUACCUAUAAGACUGGGAUAACUUCGGGAAACCGGAGCUAAUACCGGAUAAUAUAUUGAACCGCAUGGUUCAAUAGUGAAAGACGGUUUUGCUGUCACUUAUAGAUGGAUCCGCGCCGCAUUAGCUAGUUGGUAAGGUAACGGCUUACCAAGGCAACGAUGCGUAGCCGACCUGAGAGGGUGAUCGGCCACACUGGAACUGAGACACGGUCCAGACUCCUACGGGAGGCAGCAGUAGGGAAUCUUCCGCAAUGGGCGAAAGCCUGACGGAGCAACGCCGCGUGAGUGAUGAAGGUCUUCGGAUCGUAAAACUCUGUUAUUAGGGAAGAACAAAUGUGUAAGUAACUAUGCACGUCUUGACGGUACCUAAUCAGAAAGCCACGGCUAACUACGUG
RNAcentral lists this ribosomal RNA (496 nucleotides) under uncultured bacterium. Its description in RNAcentral is "partial 16S ribosomal RNA". It matches the Rfam family "Bacterial small subunit ribosomal RNA", at positions 28 to 507 of the family's 1533-position model. The record is from RNAcentral.